RNAcentral lists this unclassified non-coding RNA (331 nucleotides) under soil metagenome. RNAcentral's name for it is "partial contains 5.8S ribosomal RNA, internal transcribed spacer 2, and large subunit ribosomal RNA". The stretch from base 3 to 119 matches the Rfam family "5.8S ribosomal RNA", at positions 38 to 154 of the family's 154-position model. The record is from RNAcentral.
GAGAAGAACGCAGUAAAAUGCGAUAAGUAAUGUGAAUUGCAGAAUUCAGUGAAUCAUCGAAUCUUUGAACGCACAUUGCGCCCGCCAGUAUUCUGGCGGGCAUGCCUGUUCGAGCGUCAUUUCAACCCUCAAGCACAGCUUGGUGUUGGGACUCGCGUUAAUUCGCGUUCCUCAAAUUGAUUGGCGGUCACGUCGAGCUUCCAUAGCGUAGUAGUAAAACCCUCGUUACUGGUAAUCGUCGCGGCCACGCCGUUAAACCCCAACUUCUGAAUGUUGACCUCGGAUCAGGUAGGAAUACCCGCUGAACUUAAGCAUAUCAAUAAGCGGAGGA